AGGCCGCGAUUGAUCCAGACAGCGCAGCCGAUGGUAAGACAAGAUCCGUCUCCAUAAUUUUUUAUGAAAAUUUAAAAUUUAAAAUUUUAUGUUUAUGAGGAAUCUAAUUAUUUUAUUUUUUAGAUUUUAUCCAAUUCAUCACACAACCCGCCUUUCAGACAGUUAUCGAUCUCACGCAAGAUGGCGACGAAGAUCCCACCGUCAACGUAACAGACAACAUCCCGCCUGAUUCCGCUCCGGCCCACAUCGAGAAUCCAAUAGGAUCCUGCGACGAAUCACUCCCUGGACCCGCUGACGAACCAGCGAGAAAGAAGACUAGAAAAACGAAUCGCCCCACCUCUCCGGGCAGUCCUGGACCGUGUGACGAACCACCAAGAAAGACUUAUCGUUUUACAGCGGUGGUCCGACCUGAAUCGAACGGCGAACUACCGAGAAAGGCUUAUCGUUUUACCCCGGCGAUCAGUCCCGAGAGCCCUCCAGAGAGGAAAACUCUCUGUCCGGUACCACCGAACAGCCCGGCGACCAGUCCUGAGACCGAUCUGUUUUAUGCAGACUCGAGUAGAAGCCAUAAGGAUGACGUGACUACCUGGGGCAUGUCUCAAAUCGAUGCCUGGGACCAGAGUUCUUGGACGAGCGAGCGUGACGAGGUGUCUACCACCAACGUGGGUCAAACGCCAUAUCCUUCUCCCUCACCGUCGUCCGAAGAAGUAGAAGUGGAAGAAGUGCCGGCGCCUCAGCCGCUUGAUGAAUCAUGCGACGAUCUGCCUCCGUUUCAUAGCCCCAUUAAUUCGAUACAAUCAUUCGGUCAAGAGUUGCCCAACGCGAUCAAUUUGUUGUUAAUAUCAUCUUGUACGUUGCGGAGUUCGACGUAUUUGUUGUUUAUGUCAACCUGUGCGUCGCGAAACUCUUGACCGAAUGAUUGUAUCGAAUUAAUGGGGCUAUGAAACGGAGGCAGAUCGUCGCAUGAUUCAUCAAGCGGCUGAGGCGCCGGCACUUCUUCCACUUCUACUUCUUCGGACGACGGUGAGGGAGAAGGAUAUGGCGUUUGACCCACGUUGGUGGUAGACACCUCGUCACGCUCGCUCGUCCAAGAACUCUGGUCCCAGGCAUCGAUUUGAGACAUGCCCCAGGUAGUCACGUCAUCCUUAUGGCUUCUACUCGAGUCUGCUGGAUGUUAAAAAAAUCUUAAUGUUUGACACCAUCUGGUUUAAAUGCAAAUAAUGUAGUUAGUCUCACCAUAAAACAGAUCGGUCUCAGGACUGGUCGCCGGGCUGUUCGGUGGUACCGGACAGAGAGUUUUCCUCUCUGGAGGGCUCUCGGGACUGAUCGCCGGGGUAAAACGAUAAGCCUUUCUCGGUAGUUCGCCGUUCGAUUCAGGUCGGACCACCGCUGUAAAACGAUAAGUCUUUCUUGGUGGUUCGUCACACGGUCCAGGACUGCCCGGAGAGGUGGGGCGAUUCGUUUUUCUAGUCUUCUUUCUCGCUGGUUCGUCAGCGGGUCCAGGGAGUGAUUCGUCGCAGGAUCCUAUUGGAUUCUCGAUGUGGGCCGGAGCGGAAUCAGGCGGGAUGUUGUCUGUUACGUUGACGGUGGGAUCUUCGUCGCCAUCUUGCGUGAGAUCGAUAACUGUCUGAAAGGCGGGUUGUGUGAUGAAUUGGAUAAAAUCUAAAAAAUAAAAUAAUUAGAUUCCUCAUAAACAUAAAAAUUUUAAAUUUUAAAUUUUUCAUAAAAAAUUAUGGAGACGGAUCUUGUCUUACCAUCGGCUGCGCUGUCUGGAUCAAUCGCGGCCUCUGUGAAAAAAAAAAAAAAAAAAAAAAAUUAUGAUAAAAAUAAUAAAUAAAUAAAUAAAUUAAUUAAUAAUAUACAAAAUUAAAAUACAUUCAUUUUAGUUUAUAAAAAGAAUAGUUAAUACGUACUUACGUGUAUUAAUAGCGUCAAAGGCUUGGCGCUCAAUAUUUGAACCUGUGAUAAAAAAUAUAAAAAGUGUUAUGAUUUCAAACACAUGGAGAGGGUUUUUAUUUUACAGUUUAAUGGAGCACACACACAUACACACACUGUGACAAAGAAAUCGUGAUGUCAUAACAUUAAACCGCAAGCAGAUGGCGCAAUUUUCACUAUAACGGCGUCAUUUCAUCCAGACUCACCGGGGGGAGCCAUUUCACAAUCAUAUCCUCAUAUGUCGUUUCACUGCGAACAGUUAGCAAACGGGAAAAAUGGUUUUCUGAGUCACGCUUAGUUACGCUUACACCUUCCGCGAUGUCGUCUUCAUAGAUGACAAACGGAUAACGGAGUGGCAAAACGUAGAUUUAACGGACCAGAAUUGUUUUUUCUGAUAUCCUAUACGUAGCAUUGAAGCAGGCAAAACUAAGCGCGCGUCAACCGGACGUCGUCAUAUUUUCAAAAUAAAAGUAUUUUAACAGGAUGGCGUCAUAUUUUCAAAAUAAAAGUAUUUUCAACAGGAUAUGGUGAUAUAUGCAAAAUAAAAGUAUUUUUUCAUUUUUUUUUUCAUUCAUGAUAUUAAGUCCAAUAACACAUACUUUAUAUUGUUAAAAAUAUCUCUAUCUGCAUAUGGCUGCGUAAUCUGCUUAACAUGAAAUAUUAAGACGACAUAAAGACGUCAUAGACUGUAAAAAUAGGCUUUGAUCAAUGAAUAGUUUUUUAAAUAUCACUAUCGGCAGAUGUCUGCGUAAUCUGAUUAACAUGAGGAAAAUUACGGGGAAUGACAUGAAAUAAUAAGACACCAUAGACUGUAAAAUUAACAUAACAGGCUUUGAUCAAUGAAUAGUUUUUAAAAUAUCACUAUCAGCAGAUGUCUGCGUAAUCUGCUUAACAUGAAGAAAAUUACGGGGAAUGACAUGAAAUAAUAAGACACCAUAGACUGUAAAAAUAACAUAACAUGCUUUGAUCAAUGAAUAGUUUUUUUUUAAAUAUCACUAUCAGCAGAUGUCUGCGUAAUCUGCUUAACAUGAAGAAAAUUACGGGGAAUGACAUGAAAUAAUAAGACACCAUAGACUGUAAAAAUAACAUAACAG
RNAcentral lists this long non-coding RNA (3029 nucleotides) under Carassius auratus (goldfish). Its description in RNAcentral is "lncRNA (ENSCARG00000067946.1)". The record is from RNAcentral. Lineage: Eukaryota; Metazoa; Chordata; Actinopteri; Cypriniformes; Cyprinidae.